GAUGAACGCUGGCGGCGUGCCUAAUACAUGCCAGUCGAGCGAACGGACGAGAAGCUUGCUUCUCUGAUGUUAGCGGCGGACGGGUGAGUAACACGUGGAUAACCUACCUAUAAGACUGGGAUAACUUCGGGAAACCGGAGCUAAUACCGGAUAAUAUUUUGAACCGCAUGGUUCAAAAGUGAAAGACGGUCUUGCUGUCACUUAUAGAUGGAUCCGCGCUGCAUUAGCUAGUUGGUAAGGUAACGGCUUACCAAGGCAACGAUGCAUAGCCGACCUGAGAGGGUGAUCGGCCACACUGGAACUGAGACACGGUCCAGACUCCUACGGGAGGCAGCAGUAGGGAAUCUUCCGCAAUGGGCGAAAGCCUGACGGAGCAACGCCGUGUGAGUGAUGAAGGUCUUCGGAUCGUAAAACUCUGUUAUUAGGGAAGAACAUAUGUGUAAGUAACUGUGCACAUCUUGACGGUACCUAAUCAGAAAGCCACGGCUAACUACGUG
Molecule: ribosomal RNA, 497 nt
Filed under: uncultured bacterium
Lineage: Bacteria
Description: partial 16S ribosomal RNA
Rfam family: Bacterial small subunit ribosomal RNA
Source: RNAcentral